UACAGAGGGGGCAAGCGUUAUUCGGAAUUAUUGGGCGUAAAGGGCGCGUAGGCGGCCUGACAAGUGGAAGGUGAAAUCCCUCGGCUCAACUGAGGAACUGCCCUCCAAACUGUUUGGCUUGAGACCGGGAGAGGUGAGUGGAAUUCCCAGUGUAGCGGUGAAAUGCGUAGAUAUUGGGAGGAACAUCAGUGGCGAAAGCGACUUCCUGGACCAAUACUGACGCUCAUGUGCGAAAGCGUGGGGAGCAAACAGG
Molecule: ribosomal RNA, 253 nt
Filed under: uncultured bacterium
Lineage: Bacteria
Description: partial 16S ribosomal RNA
Rfam family: Bacterial small subunit ribosomal RNA
Source: RNAcentral